ACCUGGGUGGCUCAGUUGGUUGAGUAUCUGACUUCAGCUCAGGUCAUGUUCUCGCGGUUUGUGGGUUCAAGCCCCAUGUCGGGCU
This 85-nucleotide transfer RNA is filed under the name Felis catus (domestic cat). It matches the Rfam family "tRNA". From Rfam's summary of the family: Transfer RNA (tRNA) molecules are approximately 80 nucleotides in length. Lineage: Eukaryota; Metazoa; Chordata; Mammalia; Carnivora; Felidae. The record is from Rfam by way of RNAcentral.